Molecule: long non-coding RNA, 750 nt
Organism: Pseudomyrmex gracilis
Lineage: Eukaryota; Metazoa; Arthropoda; Insecta; Hymenoptera; Formicidae
Exons: 3
Source: RefSeq, a predicted model, not a curated record
UUGUAAUGUGUGAUUCUUACUUAAGUUCAAUAAUUUAUAGCGCAAUUAAUAUUAGAACUUUUUAUUUGUCUCUUGUUUGUCUUUUAUUAAAGCUCUUCUUUUUUUACAGAUUCAUGCAGAUUCAGAAAAUAAUUCUCAUGACUUUUUUUUUUUUUUAUUAUUUCUAGGCUCAAUGUGGUAACGUAAAGGAGAUAGAUAUAUUUCUAAAGAAUAAUUAUUUAUCUUUAUUUGUUUUAUAGGGCUUUUUAUAAUACCCGAGCGUCAAGUUCGAUUUACCAAAUAGCAACGUCGGUCGUCGCGAGAAACUCAUAGAAAGCACGAAGUCUUUCGCGUUGUUUACGCUUUUUGCACUUAGAAUUAAGAUAGAUACAUAUAUAUUUGUACUUCGAUAAGAAAAGGAAAAGAAAAAAAAUUAAGCAACACAAACAGCCCGUCACAUCACACGUCACGAAGCGGCCAGAAAUGGCUCUUAAAAACGUAGCAAAAGUUUCGUACACUUAAUGUGGAAACAAAAGUGUUUAACUAAAAAUCAAGAGCAGCCAACAUGGAGAUUCAUAAUUUCCCUGGCCUUUAGUUUUGAUAUUGACAUUUGUCAGGAUGUAGACUAUAGAAGAGGAACAACUAUGUCUACUACUUUCUACGAAUGCUUCUGCUUGCAAUCGUAUCACGUAAAGAAUCCAGAAAAUAUCGUGCCAAAUUCAUCAAGAAAAGAACAGACAAAUUAAUUCGCACAUCCUGUAUAAGAACAUC